Molecule: ribosomal RNA, 371 nt
Filed under: uncultured bacterium
Lineage: Bacteria
Description: bacterial SSU rRNA
Rfam family: Bacterial small subunit ribosomal RNA
Source: RNAcentral
AACGAACGCUGGCGGCAGGCUUAACACAUGCAAGUCGAACGGGUGUAGCAAUACACCAGUGGCAGACGGGUGAGUAACACGUGGGAACCUUCCUAGGGGUACGGAACAACUCAGGGAAACUUGAGCUAAUACCGUAUACGUCCGUAAGGAGAAAGAUUCAUCGCCCCUAGACGGGCCCGCGUCGGAUUAGGUAGGUUGGUGGGGUAACGGCCUACCAAGCCUACGAUCCGUAGCUGAUCUGAGAGGANGAUCAGCCACACUGGGACUGAGACACGGCCCAGACUCCUACGGGAGGCAGCAGUGGGGAAUCUUGGACAAUGGGCGCAAGCCUGAUCCAGCCAUGCCGCGUGAGUGAAGAAGGCCUUAGGGUU